Molecule: long non-coding RNA, 1120 nt
Organism: Dioscorea cayenensis subsp. rotundata (Guinea yam)
Lineage: Eukaryota; Viridiplantae; Streptophyta; Magnoliopsida; Dioscoreales; Dioscoreaceae
Exons: 3
Source: RefSeq, a predicted model, not a curated record
AAGUAUGCUAUUGAUCAAUCUAAGCCCCUGGAAGUGCUGUGCUUUACUUCCAUUGUGUGAUUCAACUGUCCUGUUGUUUGUACCAUGAACAAAUCUCACGUGCAAGCUUGAGGAUUGAGUUGGUGAUUUGCGAUCAUUUUUUGGUGAAAUGUUGCUGGCGGGAAUUAGAGUCUGCUCCUCCAUGGCUAAUGGAAAUCAGGGUGAUCCUUGUUUUUGGAGCUCAUACGCCGGAUACUGUUAUUUCCCGCAAACAAUCAAGAACAUAUGGUGAUCAAGCAGCUUGUUGCAGUAUGUCUGAGUUUAAUUGCUAACAUGUCAACCAGAAGAGGCAUUGCCUUAUAAGCUUACUGGUGUUAAGCUAUUGCCUGUAUUUAUGAUGGUGUCAUUUCCUUUUGCAGGCUCAGGAAGCUGGGUUGAUUUGUAAUCUAUGUGUACGCAGAGCUUCUAAGUCUGUUCCUGGAUUUGAGGAUUUAUGAUUUAAUGAAAUGUUCUCUUUGGAAUCUUACAUAAUGUAUGCCACUCUGUAAAUGGAUGCUUGUGGAAGUGCAAAUAAAUGCAGGCCAAUUCUCUGCUGGAUGACCUAAGGUUCCUGGGAAGUUCUUUCCACUCGGUCUAGUUUCUGCUAUUUGGUGAACCGGAGAAGGAAUGCUCAUGUAGACUUCUCUUCACAGCAAGAACUGGCAAAAGGAGAGCAAAAUACACAAGAAUGAAUAGGAGAACAAUUCUUUAUGGUAUAAAUAGUUAAAAUUGCAAGGAUUCUAUGCCUCAGUUAGGUCAUGCCAGCAAAUCCUCAGUUGGGGCAUGCCUUUUUGAUAAAGAAACAUCCAUCGUAUUUAGCAUUUGCCAUUCUUUAUAGGAAGAGAAACGGAGUACUUUAGAUUGGUCCUUAAAAUGCCUUUUCUAAGAGAACUGACCUACAUAUCAUCAAUUUUGGUUACUUAUCCCCUUCAUUAUUUGGUGAGGCAUGUUUCCUAUUUUAAGUGUAUCUCAUGUCAUUCAUCUAAGUUAUAGCUGCAUUCUUCAAUUUUGGCAGGAUUGUAAUAGUCUAUUCCUGUAUAAUAACGUAUGUCAAGCUGAACAAUGUCUUGCAGUCAUUGAGAAAAGAUUUUCACUUUUUGUA